Molecule: ribosomal RNA, 497 nt
Filed under: uncultured bacterium
Lineage: Bacteria
Description: partial 16S ribosomal RNA
Rfam family: Bacterial small subunit ribosomal RNA
Source: RNAcentral
GAUGAACGCUGGCGGCGUGCCUAAUACAUGCAAGUCGAGCGAACAGACGAGGAGCUUGCUCCUCUGACGUUAGCGGCGGACGGGUGAGUAACACGUGGAUAACCUACCUAUAAGACUGGGAUAACUUCGGGAAACCGGAGCUAAUACCGGAUAAUAUAUUGAACCGCAUGGUUCAAUAGUGAAAGACGGUUUUGCUGUCACUUAUAGAUGGAUCCGCGCCGCAUUAGCUAGUUGGUAAGGUAACGGCUUACCAAGGCAACGAUGCGUAGCCGACCUGAGAGGGUGAUUCGCCAACACGGAACCGAGACACGGUCCAGACCCCUAAGGGAGGCAGGAGGAGGGAAACCUCCGGCAUGGGGCGAAGGCUGACGGGGGAAAGCCGGGUUGGUUGUGAAGGUCUUCGGAUCGGAAAACCUCGGUAAUAGGGAAGAACAAAUUGGGAAGUUACUAAGCACGGCCUGAAGGUAACUUAACAGAAAGCCACCGCCUAACACGUU